UCAUCAGACUUGACAUGAUUCUGUAAUAGAACAGUCUGCAUCCGUUUACCAGUUUGUCUGAGAGCCUUUAGGGCUGAAGGGUGGUGUAUAAAUACCGCAAGUAAUUCUACCUUCGGUUGAUGCUGCUUUUUGGGUCAGGUGCUCCAGCCUCCAUCGGAUCCAAAGCGAGAGCGACGUGAUCCAGCAGAGCGCCCAGCUGCUUCGUUCCUAUCUGACGGACCUCCUCGCGGCCAUUGCCAAGUCGGCCAAGGCGUGUCCUGCCAUCAUCCGGGCCACCUUUCGGCUCCUUUACAAAAGGGUCGGGGACUGUUUCCCUGAAGAGAGAGAUCAGAAUGUGAAAUUCAUUGCCAUCACCAGCUUCCUCUGCCUGCGCUUCUUCUCUCCGGCCAUCAUGGCUCCCAAACUUUUCCACUUGUGGGAGAAACAUGCUGACGCGCGCACCAGUCGGGCCCUUCUCCUCCUGGCCAAGGCCAUUCAAAACGUGGGGAACAUGGAUGCCAGCGUCAGCCGCGCCAAGGAGGCUUGGAUGGCACCUCUGCAGCCCACCAUCCAACAAGGCGUCACACAGAUGAAGCACUUCAUCCUUCAGCUCAUUGACAUUGAAGAGAAAGAAGGUCAGUGGAGGAGGGA
Molecule: long non-coding RNA, 630 nt
Organism: Sceloporus undulatus (fence lizard)
Lineage: Eukaryota; Metazoa; Chordata; Lepidosauria; Squamata; Phrynosomatidae
Exons: 3
Source: RefSeq, a predicted model, not a curated record